AAUAAUGUGGAGUACCCUCCCAACCCAAUGUGAACGUUACCAAACUGUUGCCUCCGGCGGGAUCCUCUGCCCCGGGUGCGUCGCAGCCCCGGACCAAGGCGCCCGCCGGAGGACCAACCAAAACUCUUAUUGUAUACCCCCUCGCGGGUUUUUUUUAUAAUCUGAGCCUUCUCGGCGCCUCUCGUAGGCGUUUCGAAAAUGAAUCAAAACUUUCAACAACGGAUCUCUUGGUUCUGGCAUCGAUGAAGAACGCAGCGAAAUGCGAUAAGUAAUGUGAAUUGCAGAAUUCAGUGAAUCAUCGAAUCUUUGAACGCACAUUGCGCCCGCCAGUAUUCUGGCGGGCAUGCCUGUCCGAGCGUCAUUUCAACCCUCGAACCCCUCCGGGGGGUCGGCGUUGGGGAUCGGCCCUGCCUUGGCGGUGGCCGUCUCCGAAAUACAGUGGCGGUCUCGCCGCAGCCUCUCCUGCGCAGUAGUUUGCACACUCGCAUCGGGAGCGCGGCGCGUCCACAGCCGUUAAACACCCAACUUCUGAAAUGUUGACCUCGGAUCAGGUAGGAAUACCCGCUGAACUUAAGCAUAUCAAAACGGGAGAGAGAA
Molecule: ribosomal RNA, 597 nt
Filed under: Trichoderma harzianum
Lineage: Eukaryota; Fungi; Ascomycota; Sordariomycetes; Hypocreales; Hypocreaceae
Description: eukaryotic LSU rRNA
Rfam family: 5.8S ribosomal RNA (bases 208-361)
Source: RNAcentral